This 253-nucleotide ribosomal RNA is filed under the name uncultured bacterium. RNAcentral's name for it is "partial 16S ribosomal RNA". It matches the Rfam family "Bacterial small subunit ribosomal RNA", at positions 524 to 776 of the family's 1533-position model. The record is from RNAcentral.
GACGAACCUUGCUAACGUUAUUCGGAAUUACUGGGCUUAAAGGGUGCGUAGGCGGGAUGGCAAGUCGGUCGUGAAAUCCCUCGGCUCAACUGAGGAUCGUCGAUCGAUACUGCCGUUCUUGAGGAUUGCAGAGGAGACUGGAAUUCCCGGUGUAGCGGUGAAAUGUGUAGAGAUCGGGAGGAACACCGGUGGCGAAGGCGGGUCUCUGGGCAAUUCCUGACGCUGAGGCGCGAAAGCGUGGGGAGCAAACGGG